CAGCCCUGGCAGCUCAUAUAUUAAAAUUGGUACAAUACAGAGAAGAUUAGCAUGACCCCUUAAAAAAAAAAAAACUUAACAAAAAGAUGCUAUCUUUAACUGU
Small nuclear RNA from Microtus oregoni (creeping vole), 103 nucleotides. Lineage: Eukaryota; Metazoa; Chordata; Mammalia; Rodentia; Cricetidae. The record is from RefSeq and is a predicted model, not a curated record.